RNAcentral lists this ribosomal RNA (406 nucleotides) under uncultured bacterium. RNAcentral describes it as "partial 16S ribosomal RNA". It matches the Rfam family "Bacterial small subunit ribosomal RNA", at positions 29 to 526 of the family's 1533-position model. The record is from RNAcentral.
AGUGAACGCUGGCGGUAGGCCUAACACAUGCAAGUCGAACGAGUGGCGGACGGGUGAGGAAUACAUCGGAAUCUACUCUGUCGGGGGGGAUAACGUAGGGACACUUACGCUAAUACCGCAUACGAUUGAAUGAGCCGAUGUCGGAUUAGCUAGUUGGCGGGGUAAGGGCCAACCAAGGCGACGAUCCGUAGCUGGGCUGAGAGGAGGAUCAGCCACACUGGAAUGGAGACCCGGUCCAGACUCCGACGGGAUGAACAAGUGGGGAAUAUUGGACAAGGGGCGAAAGCCUGAUCCAGCCAUACCGCGUGGGUGAAGAAGGCCUUCGGGUUGUAAAGCCCUUUUGUUGGGAAAGCGGUACCCAAAGAAUAAGCACCGGCUAACUUCGUGCCAGCCGCCGCGGUAAUAC